UGGCUCGCUGAUUAUAGGUGUUGAAAACCUUAGAAUCUUAUUGUUAUCGUGCUUGUAUUGUUAUUGUGUAGUGAAUUCGAGAGGGGUCAUCAAAAGGGGUCCUCGGUUCUUCAAAUCAUGGACUAUUUUGGUGUGUGUUAGUGUCUUCCUUGUCGAUCUUGUAUCAUUUGGUAUCAAAACAUGCUUGAUUUCGUUUUCACAAGAUCAAUCUAGCUUAAAAAUACAAAAAAAAAAAAAAAGUGUAGAAGUUGUUCUUGUUCUUGGCCGAGACAUGUUUCUUUGUGGCUAGAUCUUGUAGUCUUUUGUUUGUUUAGAUUGUUUCUAGUGUUGGUUUCUUUCUCACCAACACUAAAGUGUCUAGAUCUAAAGGUUUGAGCUUAUGUUGUUGAGAUCUUAUUGUUCUUCACAUCUUGACAUCUCUUAAUCAAUAUAAAGUAUAACAUAAAUCAACCACUUUUCCAUAUUUCAAGGACGUUGUUUUGUGGAAAUAGUAAAGUCAAGUCUCACUUUUUGAGUUGGAAUUUGAAAAAGUUUUUAAGACUUGAAUUUUUCCACCAAAAGGCAAACUCAUCCAUCCAAAUUGUAUCAAGACAAAAGCUUCAAAUUGGUGAUUAAAAAAAAAAUUGGGUGGGACCGCGACCAAUUACGUGGCUGCCACGUCAUCACGUUCUACUGUUCACGCAACAUAAGUAAGCUCGAAUUUUUUAAUUUCUUAGUUUCUAAUCUUUGUUUCUUAGUUGCAUUUUGUUGAUUCUAUUGCUAAUUAACAAACUAGUAAUUGUCUACUAGGUUGUAAAUUAGUUUUGGGUCCAUUUAUUCGUGUCUACGUUUCUUUGUGUGCUUUUAUCUUUUCGAAAAUUCGUUGUAGCCUUUUGACUCAAAUACGUACAAAUUUAUUUUGAGUCGUUGCAAACAAAAAUCCAUUCCGACCUUAAGCCGCAAGUGUGACCAAGUAACUUCAUUGGAGUAAAAACGGUGUACCAACACUUGUGAGACCAAUUGAGUGAUACUUCAAAAAGUGUGAGCUUGAGAGUUAGUGAGGGUGAUUUUUGCUAACCUUAACUUGUUAUUGUUUGUGUUUUGUUUAGUAUUUCUUAUUAGGUACAAUGGCUUCGGGUGAAGGUAGUCCAAGAGCCUCGAGAGAGGUAACCAUGGAUGCUUUGUUAGCGGCCAUAAUGAGCGUGAAACAUGAUCUUAGUGGUCGAAUGGAGAGAAUGGAGGAGACUAUGGACGGGAUGGAGGGUUUCUUUUCAAGGAGAAUGGAUACAUUGGAAGAUCGUUUAGAUUCCAACCAUUCAAGUCCGAAACACUACCAUGCCUCGACUAGUGGACAUGCUACCAACCCGGAUACAUUUCCCCAAUUGCUCAAUCCACCUAGACCAACCCAUGAACCCAUCCACCAAGUCCCUACUUAUCCAAAAAACCGAAGUCCAUCAAGAAGCUUCCCAAAUCCUAGACCCCCUUGAUAUGCCGAGAGCACCACUAAACCAAAACCAACCAAUACAAAUUGAUGAUGUGGAAGGUGAAGGGUCUUUAUGGAGGUGAGGGGUUAGAUGAAGCAACUCUCUUUGCAGAAUUUGUGCGCAAUAGAAGAAGAGCUUAUGGCGGGGGACAUAGAGGCCGAGGGGGAAGAGUUGGACCGGCUCCUCAUGGUAGGAGCAACUUGGGACAACGACCUCAUGUUCAAGAAGGUCUAGUGGACCAAGGAGGCAAUGUGGGUAGAGACACGGGCCUAAAUUCCAUUAAGAUCACUCUUCCUUCUUUCAAAGGGACUAGUGAUCCAUCUCUCUAUCUUGAUUGAGAGUUACAAUGUAAUCGGACUUUCCAACUCAACGAGUUAACUUCACAAAAGAAAGUCGCACAUGCCAUUGCUCAAUUUGAAGGUUAUGCAUCCACUUGGUGGGAGACAAAGCGGUUGCAACGGGCAAGGAAUGACAAUCUUGACCUUCCGAAUUGGGAUGAAUUGAAAGCUCUUAUGAGGGAGAGAUAUGUCACGGAAAGGUAAAAACAAGAGCAGCUAGCAAAGCUCUACAACUUAAGGCAAGGAGAUAGAAGUGUGGAGGAGUAUUAUGAUAAGUUUCAAAACUUGAUCCUACAUCUUGACAUAGUCGAACCUCCAAAUCAUUGCCUAGCUCGGUUCAAGGGUGGCUUGUGCUAUGAAGUUGUUUCUCAAUUAGUUGUCCACAAGUUUGACCGAAUUGAGGACCUUGUAGAAGCGGCCAUUGAAGUUGAAAGGAACAACCAUGCUAAGAACACCUUCGGGUGGGACAAGUCCUACAAGCCCUUAGAGAAGAAGCCAUUUGAUAAAACAAUCCAAAGGUAUCCACGACUUGAAGGUACUAAUUCUUCCACUCCUAAUCCUAAGGGUAUCGUUUGUUUUAAAUGUCAAGGUUGGGGUCACAAAGCUAGCGAGUGCCCAAACCGAAGGAACAUUGUACUAAUGGAUGGUGAUCCUUAUUUUGUUGGGGAUAAAGUGACCAAAACUGAUGUUAGUGAAGGAACUCCUCAAGAGGAUGAUGGAGAUGAUGGAGAUGAUGGUGAACCCGAGAGGGUGCUGGAAGAAGGGGAAGUUAAUGUGCCUUGCAGAUUGAUGAGGAGAACAACUCAUGUUGAUGCUUGGCCCGAAGAAGGUGAGGUCUUGAUUCCACCUUGACCUCUUGAUGAUCAAGAACCCAAGAGUACACUAUGGUCCUUGCUCCAAGGAAGUACUCUUUUCUUUUGGUCUUGUUUUUUGUCACGCUUAGGUGGAUAGACAAGUAUUUCUUUUAGUGCUUAGAAGGGUAUCUUAUUCCCUAAGUUCCCACGGUAUGUGUAGAAUAUACACUCGUGGUUUGAUAUUUUUUUGUUGAUUAUGCUAACUUUAACCCUCUCGUCAUGAGGAAUAUGUGUUCUUUUGUCUCCUUUAUUGUUUUGAAGGUUCGGAUUCGAGGUCGAAUCCUUUUUCAAGAAGAGGAGGAUGAUACGAGUACGAUCGUGAAUGUCGAUCAAUACGUAAAGAACUCGUGCUCGGGUGAUUGGCCAACUAAUGGAACAAGCUCUGGAGUGUUGGCUCAUUAAGGGCAUUUUAGUCAUUUUGUAAUAAGUUGUAACCUAGGCUAUAAUUAGAACAUAUUAGGUCAUUUUCUCAUAACUUAGAUGAUAUUUUGAGAGCUCUUAGAGAGUGUUCAUACAAGUGUGGAUAUCACUUGUGAGAAGUGUGGAAUCACUUGUGUUGGUUGCUUGUUUUGAAACGUUGGUUGCUUGGGGAUUCCGUUCCCUUGAGGUCACAGUAAGAACUUGAUGUUAUUUGUAUGAAUUCUUGGGUCUUAGUGUUCAAUAUACACUUUGGUCCAUAGUGUUUGUGCAUUGUAUUUGUUAUUGUGUUGAAAUCUUAGUUUGUGGUUCGCUGAUUAUAGGUGUUGAACACCUUAGAAUCUUAUUGUUAUCGUGUUUGUAUUGUUAUUGUGUAGUGAAUCAGAGAGGGGUUACCAAAAGGGGUCCUCGGUUCUUCAAAUCAUGGACUGUUUUGGUGUGUGUUAGUGUCUUCCUUGUCGAUCUUGUAUCAACAAGUCCCCAACUAACUCCGACUACUGAACUACUGGAAUGUUGAAAUAAUAACUGUCCUCAAAAUAUAAGGACUCACCAAUAUAACUGUUGUUGAUAACCUGAGCUGCAAAGUAUGGUAGGAGCCCGUGCGUCUGAACCUAUGAUAUGAGACAUCAUAGCACAAAAGAAAGAGUAUGCGUCAGUACUUUGAAUGUACUGGUAUGCUAAGUGAGGUAGGGUGAUAUACAUAGGUUCAUAUGCAUAAGAUGAUAACAGACUGAAUGAACAUCAUGAAAUAACUAAAUAAGAGUACAUGCAAAAACUGUAACUACUAAUCAUGCUGAAUAUGCAAUACUGUGCAACUAACCUCUGCCUAAAUUAGACUGAAACUGAAGUACUAAAUUAUGGUGGCUAAGUAACUGAUAGCCAUGGUUCUAUAGAACUAUCUGAGGUCUUUACUGAAUUCUGAGACUAAAUACUGAUUACUACGUAUUGAAUACUGAAAUCGUAACAGUGGGAGUGUUCAUCUAACCGACAUACCCCGAUUAUAAACUGAGUUGGGGUCCAACCUAUGACCCCAGUUGGAAGGGUGUUAGCACCGUGCCACGGGUACUAACAAUGGCUAUGUGGAUCCACUAAUGAAGCACCCUCAUCUGGCAGGUGAGAUAUGUGUUACCCUCAACUGGCAGGUGAACAAUUUAUCAACCCUCAACUGGCAGGUUGAUAUAUUUUAACCUACGCUAGCUAUGUAGUUCUGGAACUCAACUGGCAGUUUGAUAUAUUUUAACCUACGCUGGCUAUGUAGUUCUGGAACUAAGGGACAGCUACUAAAGAUCACACCCUCAACUGGCAGGUGAGCCCCCAUUCCUAGGUUCGCUUGGUGCUGAAUCCUACUCCCAACUGAAUAAACACUAAACUAAUCACUAGACUGUACUAGGCUUGACUGAACUGUUACUGCUCGUGUUGACUGACUAAACUGGACUGGGUUCACAGAGUUCUCUAACUGAAUGAGCACUACUGUUCGUGACACUAGUGAGAUCUGUAGCUACUGUAAUUCUAGGUAAACAGUUAGAUUUUUGGGUAUUGAAUACCCCCAGGACUCGAUAACAUCAAUAGUAUAACAUGGCAAAAUUUUGAAGGCAUUACAUUAAUUACUAUUCACCAUGCAUUCAUUUAGACAUUUUGUCAAACACUUGAGGGGCAUGAACUUGUACAUGAACGGGACCAUAUGGUAACAUGUCAUGAAUUCACUCUUUAAUUACCAUAGGCAUUCUAUCAAACACUUGGGAGCAUAAUUAGUGCACAUAGAAAUCAUCAAGGUAUCAACAUCGUAGCAACAACAUUCAACUUGCAAAUUCAGGGGUUUAACACGAGAAUCACAUAAUUCUACAUACAUGCUAAUUAAUUUACAAUUUUAUAUAAAAGGGAUUAUGAAACUAAGCUUUGUGAAAGCGAAAAUUUCAACAACAAAUAGAAUUCUUUUUUUUUUCUUUCCUUCUUUUUUUUUUUAAGAGCUACAUAUUUUUAUUAUACCCGGACAGUUAAGAUUCAAGUUUACACAAAGAGAUGCAAAGGAUGAACUUUCGUAUAAUGCAUACAUAGAGGAAUUAGGACAUGAUACUGUUCAUGCUCAACACUCUGAAGUAGGGAACUAGCUAGACAUGAGAAUAUUUGCAAGACAUAUUUGUCCAACACAAUUCAUUCACACACACACAAGGAAAUUGAGAGAUUCAAGAAACAUCAUGGAUGAAGAACGGAAGUCAACAGAUCAUUCAUUUCAAGCGAAGAGUUGGCAAUACAAAAAUGGACCAUGAAUUUAAGGUCAAAGGAAUUCCCUUUCCAUGGGUUAUGGAUGAAAUCCCUCACACCUAGAUAGGAUUCAUGUAAUCUUUCUACCACUUUGAUAUUAUUUAAAACCAAAUCCAAACCAUCCUAGAUGUAGGAUGAAUGGGUAAAUUAUUAAAACAAGACAAAGCUCAGACUUUGUCCUUUAUAAAACAAGAAUAGUACUUGAGAAACUCUUGAGAUUGAAGAUUGAAUUAGCGCAAAGCUCGAUUUUGUCCAACGUUUUACUCUAAAAAAAAAAGGGCCCUAAUAAUAACUAUUUCACUCGGGUUUUUUUCAAGCUUUCAAAGCAUAUUAACAAAAACAAGUAAGAUCUUUAGAUGCUCCCGAAACAUCAGCUUUAUCACAAGUUCAUGAAGGUCACGACAUGACAAAACAACGUAAAGGCUUACUGGAAAACAUUAUAUUAGCAACAAUUUUCAAUUCGAAGGCACUACCAACAAUCGAACAUAAGCUAUGUCUAGUUUUAUAACUGUUAGGUAGAGUAGUGAUCUCCUAAGGUGAUUUCUUAAUGAUAAACCCACUUAGUAUUAAAAUAGACUAAAUAAAAAAUUCCACUAUGCUUUACAGUCAAUCACCUUCCGUAGUACUAGUGAGAACAAAACUUGUUAAUAUUGACUCAUUUCAAUCUUAGGAAUUUCAUAUAACAUUAGGCUAUGUUUACCAUGUAGACCGAUCUCAAAACUCACAACUACAGUGAGAUUCACAUUACAAAUUACAAUCCUAGAAAUAGAAAAAAGACGAGUCUUUUUACCUUUUUGCGGGCAGCGAAUGGGACAGAACGAGCUUUGACGACGAACUUCCGUCACCACAAUUUGAUCCUGCUUCAACGGAAUUCAAACAAAGUCAUCGCAUUUCAAGAGUUGUGUUUCUCGAGAAUCUUGGUUACGUGAGCUUAAAAGCAAGCGCCUUCAGAACCCCAAUUUUUCCCCAAAAUCCUCUGCCUUUCUUCUUUUCAAUCUCCUCUAUUUAUAGAAGGAGAUACUGAUCUUUCAUCUUCAAAAUUUAAAAAUGGAGAAACACAUCCCUUAAAAUUCAGAUUUGACACUGUGACCUCGGACUUGGAUUGGAUUUUGGCAUGGAAGACACUCAAUUUUGAGCCAAAAGCCCACAACAAUGGCUCUAUCUCUGCAAAAUUACAGAGAUAAGAUGGAAAAGAGAGACUUUUCGGGAUUUGGGGGAUUUGUCGUUGAAUUUUGCUGUUAUCAUUUAACGGAUCAGAUUUUGACUGAAUCGGGUUGGUUGGAGUCGUUGUUGAAGGUGCUGACCGAGUCGCCGGUUCCGGGUACGGGUUGGAUGACACCGUCGUUUGUUGAAGUUGUUCCUGUUUGCAUUGAUAUUGUUGUUAAUCGGUUUUUGGGUGUGUUGUGCGUUGUUAUAGCUGAGGUUGUAGAUGACAAUCAGGUAAAGGGGAAUGGAUUUUAAAAGGGCCUUUGGGUCGGGUUGCUCUGUUGGGUAAAAAAUAAUAAAAUGGUUGGUCU
This 6851-nucleotide long non-coding RNA is filed under the name Capsicum annuum. RNAcentral's name for it is "long non-coding RNA (CANN_LNC008316)". The record is from RNAcentral. Lineage: Eukaryota; Viridiplantae; Streptophyta; Magnoliopsida; Solanales; Solanaceae.